RNAcentral lists this long non-coding RNA (1407 nucleotides) under Suricata suricatta (meerkat). RNAcentral describes it as "lncRNA (ENSSSUG00005003520.1)". Lineage: Eukaryota; Metazoa; Chordata; Mammalia; Carnivora; Herpestidae. The record is from RNAcentral.
GAUGCUUGAUGAGUCUGUACUACCCCAAAAAGAAAGUUAGGAUGCAAAUGAACAAAGGCAUCAGACCAAUAGCCUUCCUUUUGUGACUUGAAACAACUACCCCCCUAUAAAGUGCGUGGAUAUACUCUUUUAGAAUUUAUCUCCAUGAACAUCGCUUUACUAUCCUUUCACAAGUGGCCAACAGUCCUUCUGACUGACGUUUUAUUUAUUUUUUUUUGGAUAUGUAAAUACACAGAGAUUAUCAAAGACUCCUGCAGGGCAAAGAGCAAUUCUAUCCAUUUCUGCUGAUUAUGCAGAUCUACUGAUCUACUGUAUCAGGUUAAUCGUCCAUUUUCACACAAAGGUCUUAUCAACAUCAGCCUUAUUUAAAUGUGUUUAUUCCUCCAACCAAAUAAACUCAGGAUUAACACUAAUUUCCAAGAUGGGCAGAAAUGAAGUAAAGAAUCUGAGACUCUGGUGUCUCGAUUCCUUUAGGACAGAUGGCUGGUCUUGGAAGUAUUUAUAACCAGAUGACCACUGCUCUAUUCAAGAAUUACACUAUGCCACAGCCAACUUUUGAUUAUUUAUGUUAACUGAAGGCAGAAGCAUAGAUGAUCAAAACCAAUCUGCAAAUCACUUCUAAUUGGCUUUGAAAUGUCUAUUAAUUUUUUAAAGAGAUUUAUUUGAUUAUCUUUUCCUCGAGAUUAUAUGAAAAAUGACUUGUGUUCCCUGGGUCCAAGCCAAAUGAUGGGAGCAUAACCGGAAGCUGGACCCAUUCAACAUGGGCAUAAAAAUACACCACAAAUAAAAUGGAAAGCAGAAUAAUUAUAAGAGAUAAAUGAGAUGUGACUACGGGUAUUAAAAAUAAAAUAUUUGAAAGCAUGACUCCGUAUCAAGCUCUGUAUGGAAUUAGACUCGUGGAGAUGUGACUAAAGAAAAAUUCUGUGCUAUGUUAGAGUGCACAAGCUAAGGGAAAUAAAUAUAUCUAGAAACCCCUUGUGGUUGCAUUGCCAAUCUUAAAGGUUUCUCACAGAAUGAAGGGCAGAAAUAUUGCUGUUAUUAGCGUUUUCCUCUUAAAAGUUAAGGUUAAGUUUCUUUAUUAAUACCUAUAAUGAACAGGGCAUGUGAAUCACGAGCCAAUUGUGUAUGGGACUGAAAUCCUUUAGGAAUCAACAGUAUGGUAGGGUCAUGGGAAUCAGAACAGGUGGACCACAGAAAAGCAGGGCUGUCCUUCCUCUGCCUUGUUCCUCUGCCAGGGUGCCUGGCUCAAGUUCUGUCACCUGACUUAGUACAGUACCUAAGAAAUUUGGGUGUUUAAUAAGUGCGAAGUAAUAAUACACAUAGUGGAGGUAUAAUAAAUUAAUAUGAAAUGCUCCACAGUGGGACCCAUUUUAUGGAUGAGGCUAGUAAUCCAUGACCAUUGUUGUG